UUUAUUCCCCAGCACCCCGGAAGGCCUGGCUACCUUUCCUUAUUCCUUCUCCACAGGAUGUGGGAAUCUGAAAGGGAGCGACGGUGAAGGUCCGGCUGCUUUUCCUCUUGCUGGACUUAGAGAAACUCCUGUGCCGGUAGAAAUCCGAGCUAGACAUGGGGAUGCUGAUGAACAUCCCAGAAAACUUGCGACUGGGGCGUCUUUUAUGGUGGCCUGUGUUUGAAGUGCUCUGGGGCACUAGUUCCAGCUCGAGAUCAAGUGGCAUAAAGCUGUGGUUAGACCCGCAGAUUUCUGAGUGUUAGAGACAGAAUGCUUGUUCUUAGGUACUGCAAGGAAAAAUCAGCAUUCAGACAAGUUUUAUCAGCAAGGCAGUUUUGCUUUCUGCAGAAAGGGUACUGCUUGUCAGCAAUGUUGCUACAAGAGCACACUGAACAAAGGAAAGGCAGGAAUAUUUAUUCUUUGCAUGUUGGGUCUUUACUGCUGUGUCUUGUCUCCUGGUUGGAGCUGGACUUCACAGUCUAAGCCAAACUCGAUUGGCUAACAACUUAAACCUUUCUUAAGUAGGUAAAAGCAAUGGAAAACAAAGGAAAAGAGGAAGUUGCUUGUGAAAGGACUUAGAAGAGGAAUAGCAUUUCUAAACAAGGAAAGGGCAAAGGCUGUGAGCUGGGAGGUCCUUGUGAGUAUGUCCAGCACAAAUGUCUUGGUUAAAGCACAAGGAUAUGGAAGGUACUUAUUCCCCUAUUUCUAGCAGCUACAUAGGACAGAGCUUAACAGAGAGUUACUAGCAAAAAGAAAGAAGGCUUUGAAGAAAGUCUUUAAAAGAAACUAUUAUUUCUGACAUUUAUUAUUCUUUUCUCACUUGCCUCACUGCGCACUGGUCCUGGCAAAGGCCUGGUGCUGUGGACGUCGCGGCUGCCUGGUUUGAACGUCCGGGGAUUACAUCUGUUUAUAGACCUGGAGAUGGUACAGCUCGUGUACGUAAAACAUCUUCUGAGGACAUUGGUGUACGGAUUGGUAUUCCUGUAGGGAGGACCACCCAGCUGUCAGCUUCGUCACAGCUCACGGUAAUCACAGCUCUCCUGGCUUUAGAUCUGUGGAGUGUGGAACAGUCGAAAUUUAAGUCUUCAAAACCUGCAUGUUCAGAGCGUCAAUAUCAUCGGUGUCCUGUAGUUUUGAUGGUAUUGCUGUUCGCUUGCUGCGCCGUGAGAGAGAAGCAGAGGAAACAGUGUGUGAUUAAGCCCGUCGGUUAUGACAAGGUAAGAGAAAUAACUUGGGGGAGGGUGAAAAUCGCACUCUGGUUCAAGGCCGUUUGGCUGAGGCACUCAGGAAAUGCACUGAUGCAGACCCAGACUCCGCAGGACAAACUCUCCUGGGUAUACAUUUGAUUCCUGAGUCUGCCUCUGACAUGAUGAGGAAGUCAGAAAAAGCAGAAAUGGGACCUCAAACCCCUGUGAGCAAACUCCUAAACACAGCCUUCAAUGUUUAUAGCAAUGGGAACAGGGCAAAAGUGGCAGAAAUAAACGCAAGACAAACAGCCAGAAUGUGCAAUUGCUAAUGGCUGCUGUAAGUGCCCUGCCCCUCAGCCUUGCCCGUCCUGACAGAGUGUCAUGAGGUGGGCAUCUGAGAUGCCCAGACACGAGCCCUGCCCCUCAGCCUUGCCCGUCCUGAGAGACUGUCAUGAGGUGGGCAUCUGAGAUGCCCAGACACGAGCCCUGCCCUUCAGCCUUGCCCGUCCUGACAGAGUGUCAUGAGAUGGGCAUCUGAGAUGCCCAGACACGAGCCCUGCCCCUCAGCCUUGCCCGUCCUGAGAGAGUGCCAUGAGAUGGGCAUCUGAGAUGCCCAGACACGAGCCCUGGGCCUGAAUCAGUGUGCCUGCCAUAAGCAAAAGGGCCAUUGGCAACAAGAAUGUCCUAACCAUCCUGGGUGAGAAAGGAAAAAGCUGCCUAUCAACACUAGAGCUAACCAUCUUCUGCUACCCCCACAGAGGUGUUUUGCUCACGUUGGUGUACUGGGGACCUCGGACCCUGGACCCGACGGAUGGCUCCCUGCGGGCAGACAAG
Long non-coding RNA from Callithrix jacchus (white-tufted-ear marmoset), 2060 nucleotides. Lineage: Eukaryota; Metazoa; Chordata; Mammalia; Primates; Cebidae. The record is from Ensembl.